AUAGGCUACGUCUUCGACUGGUGCCUGAUUUGUAGUAAAAUUCGUUAUAUUAGAAGCCGGAGGUCUAAUAAUACCAGAUUAUUUGUUAGAACUGGCCUUCUUACUAUAUGUAACCACCACAAGUUUAUUAAGAAGAAUAGUUGUUGCCUAGCAACAAUUAGUCGUAUAGUUUUGUGUAAAAAAUAAAAAGUCAUUAUGUACAUCCGAAGAUUAUGUUUCAUUAUUUACCAUAAUUACCACAUUAUUUCAAUCUCAAAUUAGACUAUAAUGUUUUGAAUUGGAAAUCUUUUUAUGUGAUAAAUAUAUUUGUAGCUAAUACGACCUCGAAUUAUUAAUCGAUUAGGGAAUUAUUAUCGAUAUAGAGUUUGAGAUUUGCGUAAUAAAUACCAUUGAGUCACAAUUGAAUCUAAUGGAAAAUAAAACUGAAAAUUGUUCACUUACUUUUUCCAACUUUCAAGGAAUCCAGCGUCAGACCAACGGUACUUGGGCCUCCCUACGGGGCGGCGUCCCUCCGGUACACCCGCGUACACCCGUUUCACAGCCCGAUCCUGCUCCAUACGCACUACAUGACUAAGCCAUUCGAGCCUCCGUGCCUUCAUCUCCCCCAGAAUAUUUGGCUCACCAAAAAGCCUCUCCACAUCCUUGUUUUUCCGGACGUGUCAACCUGACGUGAAAACCUAAAGCUACUGAUUAAAUCGUUACACUAAACAUAACUGUUGCUUUUAUUAAAUUGCUAAUGAAGAAUUCUAAAUAUACCAGUAACAAAUU
Molecule: long non-coding RNA, 768 nt
Organism: Bombyx mori (domestic silkworm)
Lineage: Eukaryota; Metazoa; Arthropoda; Insecta; Lepidoptera; Bombycidae
Exons: 2
Source: RefSeq, a predicted model, not a curated record